CCCGAACAUUGGGAAGCACUUAAGUGGUUACUUAGGUACUUAAAAGGCACAUCUAGUAUAGGAUUAGUAUAUAAAAGGGGAAAUGAAGGAAUGAUACUUAAAGGCUUUGUGGAUGCUGAUUUUGCUGGUGAUAGGGACCAUAGAAAGUCCACUUCUGCCUAUAUGUUCACACUUUGUGGUACCUGUGUGAGUUGGAAGUCCCAAUUACAGCCUAUAGUUGCUUUAUCAACCACAGAGGUUGAGUAUGUAGCUGCCACAGAAGCUGUGAAGGAAGCUUUGUGGCUUAAGGGACUAUUAUCUGAAAUUAGGAUGUUAAAUGAACCUGUAAUUGUUUAUUUAGAUAGCCAAAGUGCAAUACACUUGUGUAAGAAUCCUGUUUUUCAUGAAAGAACCAAACACAUAGAUGUAAAGUUACAUUUUAUUAGAGAUGUUGUCUCAAAUGAAUGUGUUCUUCUUGAAAAAAUUCCUACACAGUACAAUCCAUCAGACAUGGGGACAAAGGUAUUGCCUCUUUCUAAGUUUAAAUCAUGUUUGGCACUUUUGAAUAUUGAUACAGGUUAAUUCUUUAAAUGCAGGUACAACUUGGUGUCAAUAGGAGGGCUGCAAGUGCUCAGAAAUCCCAUUGGCAUCAAGGUGGAGGUUGUUGGGCUGUGAUGACCAAUGACCUUUUCUGGGCUGUGAUGACAAAUGGGCUAAAGCCCAAUAACUGUUUUAUCAAUUUAGGCUCUUGCCCAAUAACAUGACCCGAUCCGCCCCAACCCAAAUGGUAGAUAAAACGUGUUUUGGCG
Molecule: long non-coding RNA, 788 nt
Filed under: Olea europaea subsp. europaea
Lineage: Eukaryota; Viridiplantae; Streptophyta; Magnoliopsida; Lamiales; Oleaceae
Source: RNAcentral